UGCACCUGUAGCUCAGUUGGAUAGAGCAUACGCCUUCUAAGCGUACGGUCAGGGGUUCGAAUCCCUUCAGGUGCGCCAU
Molecule: transfer RNA, 79 nt
Filed under: Ureaplasma urealyticum serovar 13 str. ATCC 33698
Lineage: Bacteria; Bacillati; Mycoplasmatota; Mycoplasmoidales; Mycoplasmoidaceae
Also listed under: 9 other names
Description: tRNA-Arg
Rfam family: tRNA
About the family: Transfer RNA (tRNA) molecules are approximately 80 nucleotides in length. Their secondary structure includes four short double-helical elements and three loops (D, anti-codon, and T loops).
Source: RNAcentral